This 490-nucleotide ribosomal RNA is filed under the name uncultured bacterium. Its description in RNAcentral is "partial 16S ribosomal RNA". It matches the Rfam family "Bacterial small subunit ribosomal RNA", at positions 29 to 507 of the family's 1533-position model. The record is from RNAcentral.
AGUGAACGCUGGCGGCAGGCCUAACACAUGCAAGUCGAACGGCAGCACAAGAGAGCUUGCUCUCUGGGUGGCGAGUGGCGGACGGGUGAGGAAUGCAUCGGAAUCUGCCCAUUUGUGGGGGAUAACCUCGGGAAACCGGGACUAAUACCGCAUACGACCUACGGGUGAAAGCAGGGGAUCUUCCGACCUUGCGCAGAUGGAUGAGCCGAUGCCGGAUUAGCUAGUUGGAGGGGUAAAGGCCCACCAAGGCGACGAUCCGUAGCUGGUCUGAGAGGAUGAUCAGCCACACUGGGACUGAGACACGGCCCAGACUCCUACGGGAGGCAGCAGUGGGGAAUAUUGGACAAUGGGCGCAAGCCUGAUCCAGCCAUGCCGCGUGUGUGAAGAAGGCCUUCGGGUUGUAAAGCACUUUUGUUGGGAAAGAAAAGCAGCCGGUUAAUACCCGGUUGUCAUGACGGUACCCAAAGAAUAAGCACCGGCUAACUUCGUG